CAGAAGUGCACAGAAACGCGAAGAAAGUGAGAUCAUUCUUUGUCCGAUCGAUGGACGAAUGCUCGAUUGCGAUAUCAUCUUUUAAUUUUACCGAGCGGACAACGAAUAUACUCUCCGUUGGUCUAAACCCACCACGAAGCGGCGCAAGAACAAGCUCGCUUCGCCUAAACGCACCUUCAUGACGCUCUGUCGUUUCAGGCGUAUUAUCCGGCCAAGUUGGAAAGAACCGAAGAAGAAAUUUCGGAGAAGAAGGAAGGAAAUGACGGCAAAAAAGAGAAAAUGGCGAGAAGUGCGAGAACGAGGAAACGGGAACGCUGAACCGUUAUAUUCCAUCUGCAGAGGCGAACUGCACGGAACAUAGAUCGCACGACGCCUGCAGUCGC
RNAcentral lists this unclassified non-coding RNA (383 nucleotides) under Bombus terrestris (buff-tailed bumblebee). RNAcentral's name for it is "misc RNA ENSBTSG00005020881.1". Lineage: Eukaryota; Metazoa; Arthropoda; Insecta; Hymenoptera; Apidae. The record is from RNAcentral.